GAGCAUCACACUUCCUGCAUUCUGGUGAAUUUCUAUGCACCAAUUUAUGGGGGAAAUAUCUUUAUUCAUGUUAAGGAAAACACAAAACUCGUGGUGAAAAUUC
Sebastes umbrosus (honeycomb rockfish) is the source of this 103-nucleotide long non-coding RNA. RefSeq lists it as uncharacterized. Lineage: Eukaryota; Metazoa; Chordata; Actinopteri; Perciformes; Sebastidae. The record is from RefSeq and is a predicted model, not a curated record. The transcript has 3 exons.